Molecule: ribosomal RNA, 301 nt
Filed under: uncultured bacterium
Lineage: Bacteria
Description: partial 16S ribosomal RNA
Rfam family: Bacterial small subunit ribosomal RNA
Source: RNAcentral
CAGCAGCCACGGUAACACGGAGGGGGCUAGCGUUGUUCGGAAUUACUGGGCGUAAAGCGCACGUAGGCGGCUUGGUAAGUUAGAGGUGAAAGCCCGGAGCUCAACUCCGGAAUUGCCUUUAAGACUGCCGAGCUAGUAGGUGAGAGAGGUAAGUGGAAUUCCGAGUGUAGAGGUGAAAUUCGUAGAUAUUCGGAAGAACACCAGUGGCGAAGGCGGCUUACUGGCUCAUUCUAGACGCUGAGGUGCGAAAGCGUGGGGAGCAAACAGGAUUAGAUACCCGUGUAGUCCCUGUCUCUUAUAC